ACGUAGGGGGCAAGCGUUGUCCGGAAUCAUUGGGCGUAAAGCGCGUGUAGGCGGCUUGAUAAGUCUGUUGUGAAAGUCCAGGGCUCAACCCUGGAAUGCCGAUGGAUACUGUCAAGCUCGAGUCCGGAAGAGGCGAGUGGAAUUCCUGGUGUAGCGGUGAAAUGCGCAGAUAUCAGGAGGAACACCAAUGGCGAAGGCAGCUCGCUGGGACGGUACUGACGCUGAGACGCGAAAGCGUGGGGAGCAAACAGGAUUAGAUACCCUGGUAGUCCACGCCGUAAACGAUGGGUACUAGGUGUGGGGGGUGUCGACUCCCUCCGUGCCGAAGCUAACGCAUUAAGUACCCCGCCUGGGGAGUACGGCCGCAAGGCUA
Molecule: ribosomal RNA, 373 nt
Filed under: uncultured bacterium
Lineage: Bacteria
Description: bacterial SSU rRNA
Rfam family: Bacterial small subunit ribosomal RNA
Source: RNAcentral